GACCUGGUGGUGGAAUGGUUACCACGCCUGCUGAAAGUCAUAUGUUCAGAUCGUUUAAGCAAGAGAUCCCCGUUCAAUUCGGGGUCAGGUCA
This is a non-coding RNA of Mycena vulgaris, 92 nucleotides long. The record is from the annotation of a GenBank genome assembly. NCBI's taxonomy places the organism in Eukaryota, Fungi, Basidiomycota, Agaricomycetes, Agaricales, Mycenaceae.